This is a non-coding RNA of Triticum aestivum (bread wheat), 118 nucleotides long. The record is from Rfam. Lineage: Eukaryota; Viridiplantae; Streptophyta; Magnoliopsida; Poales; Poaceae.
AAAAUACUCCCUCCGUCCAGAAAUACUUGUCGGAGGGAGUAUCUAGAAUGGAUGAACUAAAAUACAUCUAGAUACAUUCAUUUCUCCGACAAGUAUUUUCGGAUGGAGGGAGUACUCG